ACUCUUUCCAUAGAGCUAACCAUCGAUACCUUCUUCUCUCCUCUUUCUCCUCUCUCUCUCUCUCUCUCUCUCUCUUCCUCGCUCAUGUGGUUACUGUUCUAUUGUUCUUUCGUUCUCGGUACUCCUGCGAUUAUUCCUUUGUGCACCACAAGUGGCUGAAGCUGCCAGCAUGAUCUGAUCAUCUCCCAGAUCUGUCUAAACGAAUCAGAUCAUGUGGCCGCUUCAUCUGCUGCGGGGAGCACAAGAAAAACCCUAACCCUAAUUCACAAGGGGUUCAUCGAGCAGAACAAGAAGGGUCAGGUUUGGUAAUUUGAAGCCUUCUAAUCAGGAUUUUAUCUCUGCUGCCCUUUUCCUGCUGUUUACUUGUUUUAUGAUCCGAUGAGCAAUUUUGGCUUAGCCAAAGUGGAGUGCAAUUAGAGGAAUAAGAUCAGAAAUAUGGAUUGCUAGGGUUCAUACUAAAUAAAAUAACAUUUAUCUGUGACUGUGAGUCUGAUUUCAGGUAAAUAACCUACUCAUGCUUGCAUGCUUGUGAAUCCAAUUUAUGUUUUAGGGCAAAAUAUGAAUUCUCUUUGAGAACAAUUUGUUGAUCUUUAGAACUGCUUCCUUCACCCCCGACUUGAGUUUGCUGCAUCUCUUGAAAGAAUAAACACCCACUGCAGCUCGGUGUCACUAAUUCUUUCUCUAGCUAUACUUGUGUUGCAGAAUGUUUGACCUUAUCCAUCUCUCUUACUUUGGCACACUCACUGGGCUAUCCUUUUAAGAAAUCUUCUGAACAAAGGCACACUUUUGGAAUAUCCUUAGAGAACCCUAUUCGGAAUCAUGUCCACUAGAUUACGUUUUGUUUUGUAGCCUUUCGCCCAUUUGGUUUGCUGGUUUCUAAAUAUUCCCAAACAUGCCUCAAUGGUCAUUGCCAGUGAGCAGUCACUGUGAGGCUUCAGGAAAAGGUAAUCUCUCACAUCUUUGUUUCUUUCGCUCAAGAACAUGCAAAAGCUUCCAAUACCUCUCUCUCUCUCUCUCUCUCUAAGAGCUGUAGUCCUCUUUUAGUGUACCUCGGAUGUUUCAGCAUUGCAGACUUGGUGUAAAUUCCAAAGGUCUAAGAGUCUCUAUAUGGCCCUUGUUACCACCCAACCACAUCAGCUUUGAACAUCAACCAUCUCGAUCUCCCUUGACACCCCUUUGCCAUUGAUGGUUGGAGGAGACGCAUGGGAACUGUCAUGUCCCUUUCAAUAUUUGUCUCUGUUCAGUUUAGGGUUCUUGCCAUGAAUCCCUGAGCCCAUACCUUGUGGUCUGAUCUUAAAAUCAAGAUAGAAAUCCUUCCUUCAGAAGUGGCAAAAGUUGACCCUGAGGUGAUUUGUUGGAUGAGAGAUUUAACAGGUUAACCUCUGUGCUUUUUGUGAUCCUUGAUGUGCGGUAUAGCAUCUGUACCACUCAUAAACACUAUAUCAAUUUCUCUUUAAGCUGCAUAUAGAUGAUCUUAUUCACAUGAUGUGGUUCGAUUUAUUCUCUAUAUUUUCAAGCUCAUUAUUAAGCGUGAUUCGUUUUAUCGAUCCAUACGAAUGUACCAAUCAAUUAUCAGUACGAUACGAGUGCUUUAACUUUACGACUGCUAUGAGUACUUCAUUUUUCUUCAUUACGACUUGUUUUAGUUUUGUCUGAAGAAGAGGCUAAUAACAAAAGUUUUGGUACAUUUUACAUGAGUUCUAUAUUGGUGUUCAGAGCUACAAUGAGACUUUGUCGGGUCUUAAUUUCCAUAGAAACUCUAUGGACGUCGGGCUGCUCAUCCUCACAAGUCAUAUUUGUUGAGAUGGAUCGUCUGUGGAAUUUACACAUUUCAAUUAAUACAUUACAAUGCAUGGAAACAGUUUAUCGACUGUUCUUGACAAGCUUUAGAUGUGUUUGAAGGAUUCUACAGAGAUAUCUCUGCAAGAACUGAAGACAAAACUGUAAAAUGUGGGGUCUUUGACACCUGCCACAUUAUCCAUAGUAGAUUGAUUGUUGCAUGUACUUUGCACGGAGAGAGAGAGAGAGAGAGAGAAACAUCGACAUGCAAAAUAAGCCUCCUUCCCUCGCAUUUUUCUUUGAGUUAAAUUAAGUUGUUACCUUGGUAA
This is a long non-coding RNA of Musa acuminata subsp. malaccensis (wild Malaysian banana), 2108 nucleotides long. RefSeq lists it as uncharacterized. Lineage: Eukaryota; Viridiplantae; Streptophyta; Magnoliopsida; Zingiberales; Musaceae. The record is from RefSeq and is a predicted model, not a curated record.